This 440-nucleotide ribosomal RNA is filed under the name uncultured bacterium. RNAcentral's name for it is "partial 16S ribosomal RNA". It matches the Rfam family "Bacterial small subunit ribosomal RNA", at positions 338 to 795 of the family's 1533-position model. The record is from RNAcentral.
CCUACGGGAGGCAGCAGUGGGGAAUAUUGCACAAUGGGGGAAACCCUGAUGCAGCGACGCCGCGUGAGUGAAGAAGUAUUUCGGUAUGUAAAGCUCUAUCAGCAGGGAAGAAAAUGACGGUACCUGAUUAAGAAGCCCCGGCUAACGACGUGACAGCAUCGGCUGUUAUCGGUAGGGGGCCAGCGUUAUCCGGAUUUACUGGGUGUGAAGGGAGCGUAGACGGGAGCACAAUGUUGGAGGGAAAUGCCCGGGGUUAACCCCGGAAGUGCUUUUGACACUGUUCAGCUAGAGUGCAGGAGAGGUAAGUGGAAUGCGUAGUGUAGCGGUGAAAUGCGUAGAUAUUAGGAGGAACUCCAGUGGCGAAGGCGGCUUACUGGACUGUAACUGACGUUGAGGCUCGAAAGCGUGGGGAGCGAACAGGAUUAGAUACCCUUGUAGUC